GUACACUCCUGCGGGAGGCAGCAGUGGGGAAUUUUGGACAAUGGGCGAAAGCCUGAUCCAGCAAUGCCGCGUGUGUGAAGAAGGCCUUCGGGUUGUAAAGCACUUUUGUCCGGAAAGAAAUCCUUGGCUCUAAUACAGUCGGGGGAUGACGGUACCGGAAGAAUAAGCACCGGCUAACUACGUGCCAGCAGCCGCGGUAAUACGUAGGGUGCGAGCGUUAAUCGGAAUUACUGGGCGUAAAGCGUGCGCAGGCGGUUUGCUAAGACCGAUGUGAAAUCCCCGGGCUCAACCUGGGAACUGCAUUGGUGACUGGCAGGCUAGAGUAUGGCAGAGGGGGGUAGAAUUCCACGUGUAGCAGUGAAAUGCGUAGAGAUGUGGAGGAAUACCGAUGGCGAAGGCAGCCCCCUGGGCCAAUACUGACGCUCAUGCACGAAAGCGUGGGGAGCAAACAGGAUUAGAUACCCUUGUAGUCCCAUGA
This 478-nucleotide ribosomal RNA is filed under the name uncultured organism. RNAcentral's name for it is "partial 16S ribosomal RNA". It matches the Rfam family "Bacterial small subunit ribosomal RNA", at positions 331 to 800 of the family's 1533-position model. The record is from RNAcentral.